UCUCAGAGGACUUAGCUGCCCAUAGAGACACCCAGGGAGGAGACUUUGUGAAAAGGAGCUCUCUCAAGCCAGUCAAGGAGAUGAGCCGUGGUGAAGAGCAGAAAAGGAGUUUAAUCAGUAUGGCCAUGCUGAGAAGGACAAAUAAAGAGGUCUAAGAUCUGUCUUCUGGGGGCUGACGGAAACUUUGGGGUUUUGUAGAAAUGGGCAGGAAAGGUACAAGAAGGACACUAACUGAUGCUGGAAUUAAAUUGUGGCUUGGAGAGAAGUUACAGAGGGCAGACCAUAUGAAGCCGUGUGGAAGUGAUGUGAACAGCACAUCUGCAGAACCUGAGACUGACAACAUGAUGGUGACUUCACCAUCAUGAGAGGCUGCUGUGAUGUGUAUCUGCACACUAAUGAUCAUGCUGAACACCCAAAUGGAAGCCAGUCUGUUGUGGCACUUGCUGCCAUCUGCAUUUCCUCCCACAGCAGCAAUGAAAACCAGUGGCUUACGCAGCUCAGA
Molecule: long non-coding RNA, 502 nt
Organism: Fukomys damarensis (Damara mole-rat)
Lineage: Eukaryota; Metazoa; Chordata; Mammalia; Rodentia; Bathyergidae
Exons: 3
Source: RefSeq, a predicted model, not a curated record